Molecule: long non-coding RNA, 4322 nt
Organism: Osmia bicornis bicornis
Lineage: Eukaryota; Metazoa; Arthropoda; Insecta; Hymenoptera; Megachilidae
Exons: 2
Source: RefSeq, a predicted model, not a curated record
AGAUAACUCGCGAAAUAUAAUAGUCGGAUCGAUACGAUCGGAAUUCGAGGAUCAAAACCUAUCGCGUUUAUAACGAACGACCGUGUAACCCGGGCCAGCUGGAACAACCAAUUUCCUCCUUUAAUCGAAAACGCGCAAUUACACUCGAUUACCUUUUUCCCGUGGAAUAAACAAUAAUCGUGCAACCUGGGAUUCGGUAUCGGUCUUACCUGAAACAGAGAAACGAAGGAACAAUUUAAUACGAUGAUCAAUCGGUUGAAACGAGGACGAUACGAAAGGCGGACAACGGGUUAAAAGGAUAUCAUAAAACGAACACGAAUAAUUCAAGUGAACUUUAAGCUUCAGAUUAGUAUAGACUGAGUAUUAUUUUAUGAUACUUUUAUGUCAUCAAAUCUUAUCCGACUAUUGAUGUGUCCAAAUCGAACAUUUAAUAUUCAACGUAAAAUGAAGUUCACCGUUACUAGAAUGUCAAAUGAAACGGCCAUAAACGUUCGACAAAUAUGGACGAAGCAAUUACCGAUUUUCCAGUGAAACACGAGCAGGAAUAUCGGGAACGGAGAGCAAAUCAGUUGCGCGUCAUCCGGAACACGAACGGAGCGGAUGAAAAGAUGCAAACGUGUACGCAGGGAACCAGUAAUUUGCCGUAUCGAUUGGCAUCGAUCUCGAUCGCGUGAAAUCGAAGGGAUCGUAACCGUGGCCACGGUUAAAUGAAAACAGCUACCGACGCCGUUGAAAAUACACACUCUGUUACACGAAGGGGAGUUAGAUCGUUUCGAAAAACCGACCCGUAAAGCAUUAAUUAGGUGACUUCCGCGCCGAAACUCGUCGGCCCUCGUAUGCACCGAGGAUACGCAUAAAUUUGUAAGCUGCGAGAAAGCAACGUGUACACCUCGAUCGAUCUCCCUUUCAGUACGAACAAGAAUGAUUCACGAAAUUAAUGUACCAUACAAUUACCUACUUGUACCAUCAAUAGACAUGCGUCUUAAUUACCCUCAAAUAACGAACCAUGGAGAGAGCCCCAAUUUUAAUUUCAUUUUCUAUUUCAUAUCACUUUUAUUUUCUACAUUUUACAAUCCUCCAAUAUAUGAAAUUCUUUCGUUUAAGAAUAUUUGUCUUAAAAUAUUUAUUAUUAGUACGGUCGAGUGAUAAUUUCGAAGCGGAACAGUUACUCUGUAAUCAAAAUUUCAUUCAUAAAUCAGAUACUUCUUUUCUUAGAUUUAUUCCUCGAUAAAAUACAAUGUAGACAAUCUUUUUCUCGCAAGAAAUUUUUUGUUUCAAUCAUAUUUGCGGAUUUAUGCGAGCAUAACAUUUUAAUUCCCGCUCGAACGAGGCAUUUCAUUAAUUAUAAUACAAUUUGAAUUACAAAAUGAUCAGAAACGAAAGAUUUAAAAAUAAGCAAUUUCAACAUGAUUAUAAUCUUAUUAUGUUUGAAAGAAAUGUAUAGAACAGAGAAUAUUCCACGUGCAUUUGAAGGAAUCUUUAUCUUGGAAUCUUUGUAAUUAUUCGCUUCCAAACACAGGGAGUCAUUAAUAAAGCUGUUCGCUAUAAUAUACAUCACAAUCUCGUGGCCAUUCUAUUAAAGCUUUAAUCGGACACAGUGAAUUUAUUGCGAGGCGAGAACGAGCAAUCCGCGAGCAGUUUCACGAAUAACUGUAUAAUUGCUGCGUAACGACGGUGUAAUUGCCACUGGUUGUUAACUACGACACCGUGCGUCCAUAUAAAUAACAAAGAAAUCCCUUAUCCGCACACCAGUUACAAUCACGCGAACGCGGUGAGCGAAAAAGCUUUUGCCUCCUCUCGUUGGCAAAUUAUAAUAAUGGUUUAACCAACGGUUUACAGAUUUCUGUCUCUCUAAUGAUACAAUCUCUCAAAGGUAUCAAGCAAAACACCCGAGGCUAAAUAAAAUAAUGGAAAUGAUUACUAUAUCUGCAGGUGUUUCUAAUUAACACGUUGAAAAUAACAAGAAGCAAUUAUUCAAAUUGAUAAAUAAAAACUUUUUAAAUUCAGAAAACUUGCAUCGUAAAGGUUUAAUGAAUCUAUUAUAAUUUGUCUAAAUUAAUCAUAUUCAGACUGAAACAUCUAGCAGAACUAAAUAAAAGCAGGCAUAAUGUUUACCCAUUAGGUCUGAUGAAAGAACAGACAGUGAAAGAGGAGAAUAAAAAAACGGAAACGUACGAAGCAAAAGGAAGGUGUUCGAAAAUAAAUGAGCACGCGUCGUCGGGCCAGGAAGAGAUCGGCACCGGUGAUACGAUGUCUGGAAUAAAACCAUAAUAUUGGGAAAGAAAAAUGUAAAACAGUGCCAUUUAAAUGCGUGUAACGAGAGGGUGUGCGUGGAAAAGAAAGGGUGACUCGUAGAAGGACAGGGGUAUUCGCGAGAUCAGGGGUCACCGGACACGAGGCGAUCGCGUCAGAUUAAACCCUUUCAUGUGUGAUUCAUGCCGGCAGGGAAAGUAAAUGAGUGCAACUGCACCGGUACUUCUCCUUCUCUCUUUUUUUUUUCUGCUCCUUCUUCUUCAACCUCCUAUCGGCGACCAUGUUUCCCCCUUAUUGCACCAACCCUUUCACUUUUUUUCACGUGCAGCAAUCGCGGCAUUAACUUAUCGCCGGUCACACGCAUGCUGAUCGAGUCAGGGGAACGCAAACCCGUAGCCUUUUCUUCAGGAUAAAUUAACCGACGCUUUGUCUGUCACGGCUAUUCUAUUGUUACAAAGCAGUCGUACUUUCACGAAAUUGAAUAACUAAAAAUUUCUUUAAAAUAGUCAAUUUCUAAGGCUGUACGAAAAUUCGGGUCUGACUUAGGUCUGGAAUUCUUUCCAGAUUUAGGGGGGAUCCCGAAAAUUUGUCUAGCGCCCAAAAAUUCGGGUACCCGAGCCUCGAGACGGAUCAAGCCUGAUUGUGCAGGACUCGGAAAGUUCGUCCAACAGAUAUUUAUUCGGAUCCUGAAAUCACGGGUACCCGAGUUGAUAUUCGCAUCCCGAAAUUACGGAUAACAAAAUACGUUGGAUGAACUUUCGAGGACCCGUCUGACCCGACUCGAAGCUGGGGUACCCAAAAAUUCGGGUACCAACACAUUCCUAUUAAUAUCAGUUAAUAUUCUAUUUUUAAUCGAAAUUGAUUUUUUACAAUUUCAAUGGCCAAAUACCUAAAGAAACAUGGCUCAACACUGAGAACGAAGACGAUGUAAAAUUAAACGGUUUAUUGGCGGGUAUCGAAGCAUAACUGAAAGCCGAAGAGCCGGCUUGAAAAGGCACUGCAGGAAGGCCAUAUAGGAGAGGCUCAUUAGCUGUAGACAGUUGACAGGACAAAGCUGAAUUGUUCUUUCCCUCUCUUGUUACCGAUCCCCCUAUCACCCUUCAGUCAUCUGUCAUCUACGAAUUAAGGAUCUUGCUUCUCGAGCUCGAUGUCAGACAACGAUCCAAAUCAGGUAAAAGACACUGUCAUCGUGCUUUGCUACCGAUGUUCUUCCCGUCCAUCUCUUCUCCCUAUUCUUAUCUAUUAUUUUUUGUCCCUGAUAUAUAUAUAUAAAGACGGUCUUCAAAGAAAAAUAGAUGAGAUCUUUUCUUGUUUCUCUCACUGUGCUUUUUGUUUCUCACCUGAUCCGUAGAGAUAUUAUGACACCUUUGGUCAAAGCCAUUUUAGUGUUAAAAUUUUCUACUUUACUAAAUAGUUAAAAAUGUAUAGUAGGAUUUAUCAAAAAUUUACAUCUCAUUAAAGUUUAUUCGAGUCGAGAAAUGUCUUUCGAUCGAGUGGAAUGUACCUGUCGCGGUUGAAACAACGUCGCAUAUCACGAUUAAAAUGUAAAUCCGUGAAACAACACGAGCCAUUGAUAAAGCGUGACAAUUUGCAUUGUCAAUAAACGGUAAUGAACAAUCUCGAUCGUUUUCCAUCCGUUAGAAAGCUAUUUCAUAUAAUAUGGAACGAUAUGCUGCUCAACUUUUCAGUGAAUUCGAGCCUCAAAUUAGCAUUAUUACGAGUUCAUUACUCUUUAAAAUCUACUGCUGUUGUGGUGUAAUUAAAUUUCACAGCUUGAUAACGAUGACUUUAAAGAUUGCACUGCUUGUUGCGCUGAAUUAGUAUUCGACCCAAAUCUAUUUUAUUAAUCAAAACAGCGAUAAUUCUGAUAUUUUAUAGCAUUAAUGGAAAUGCAUUGUGUGGCCAAUUUCACCGCUCCUCUAUGUGUUAAUUAAUUUAAUUUAAUUAGUUAAAUGAAUAGAAAUAAAGGAGAAAGGAGAUUAUAAAUAAUAAUGGAUUUAUACUGAAUUUAUGUAUCAAAAAUUUAACAUAUAACAGUUUUUAAUUAAAAUAAAUACCAUUUAAAUUAA